Molecule: RNA transcript, 1896 nt
Organism: Anolis carolinensis (green anole)
Lineage: Eukaryota; Metazoa; Chordata; Lepidosauria; Squamata; Anolidae
Gene: wdr41
Gene name: WD repeat domain 41
Exons: 14
Source: RefSeq, a predicted model, not a curated record
AGCGGAAGGAGGGCCUUCCUUUCGCUUUGCCCCUGUGGUUGCUAGGCGCAGCUACGGCAGGGCGGGAGGGACAAACUGCAAACGUCACGUGACCGAGAGGGCUGAGGGCCGCCUCUUCGCGAUGCUGCGAUGGCUGAUAGGCGGGGGACGCGAGCCUCAGGGCCUGGUCGAGAAAUCUGUGCAGCCCAUUGGUGAAGAGCAAACACAGAAUCCUUAUACGGAGCUCCUUGUAUUGAAAGGUCAUCAUGACAUAGUGCGAUUUUUAGUGGCAAUAGAUGAUUAUAGGUUUGCAUCUGCUGGUGAUGAUGGAAUUGUGUGCUUGUGGAAUGCUCAGACUGGAGAGAAACUAUUUGAGCUACAUGCGCACACACAAAAAAUUACAGCCCUUGCAGCUUUUCCUCUGUCAGAUACUUGUGAAGAAAAAUGUCACAUGAUUUUGACAGCAGGUGCUGAUAGGACCGUUAUAAUAUGGGAUUGUGACAGUGGCAGGCAAAUUCACAAAGUAUCCUGCUUUCAUUCUACUGUAAAGUGUUUGACAGUUCUUCACAGAUUGGAUGUAUGGCUGUCAGGAGGGAGCGAUCUUUGUGUUUGGAACCGAAAAUUAGAUCUCUUGUGUAAGACAAGCCAUCUUAUUGAUGCAGAUAUUACUUCUAUGAUUGAAUUACCAAAAAACUGUGUGGCAGCAGCUGUUGGCAAAGAAUUGAUAAUUUUUAGACUGAAAACUUCCAGAGAUGGAACUGAAUGGGAUGUCUUUGAAGUGAAACGCCUUAUUGACCAUCAGGACAGUAUUGUGUCAUUGGUCAGUGUCAGCGAAGUGAUGUUUGCCACUGGUUCCCACGUGGGAGAGCUAAUCGUAUGGGAUUCAUUAGAUUGGACCAUGCAGGCUUAUGAAUGCAAUUGGGAUACAUCUCUUCAUGCCGACCCACAACAAGAAAUAAAAUUAUCACACAGUCAAAGUGAAGUGUCAGUUCAACAUUUAGCUUCUGAUGAGGAGUGUGUCUUUGCUGCUGUUGGAAAGGGCAUAUACGUGUAUAACCUUCAGAUGAAGCGUGUGAUUGCCUUUCAGAAGACUGCUCAUGACUCCACCGUUCUACACAUUACAACAGUUCCAAACAGCAGGCAAUUAAUCUCCUGUUCAGAAGAUGGCAGUGUUCGCAUAUGGGAAUUACGAGAGAAACAGCACCUCACAGCGGAGCCGGUUCCCUCAGGUUUUUUCAGUAUCUGGGGAUUUGGAAGGACAAACAAGCAAGCCAGUCACCUAGCUAAGAAGGCACCAGAGAGCACCACUGUUUUCUCCUUGGAUCUUAUUGGGGAUUUGAUUGGCCAUUCUUCAGCAGUACAGAUGUUCCUGUACUUCACCGAACAUGGCCUGGCAACCUGCUCUGCUGAUAACUUUAUUAUCUUGUGGAAAGAUGGAGAACGGGAAUCUAGACUGCGCAGCUUAAUGCUAUUUCAUAAAUUGGAACAAAGUGAAGAUUUGCAGCUUAGGAGCUAAGACGCCUUAAAUGUGAAUAACUGUGUGGAAGUAUGAGUGAACGAAAUACGAACUCUGAGAUGACAUUUCCUGCAGUUCUUUAAUAAUUACUUAUUCUUGGAAUAAACCCAUCAGUGAAUUUUAUGCUGAUAGAACAUUUGCUCCUGGGUUUGCUGAAUUCUUGCUACUCGGCGUCAGCUCCUGAUUUGCAGCCCAUUUGAUGCUGGCAAACCUGUCUCCAUGUCCAAAGAAGCAACAUUGGAAGAGACAGAUUUUCUACUGGAAGAAUUGCAUGAAUCAAAUGCAUGGACUAUGUGAGUGUAAUACUCAGAAGAACUGUGACUGUAUUAUUGGUUUGUGCUGAAGUCGUUGUUUUCUUGAACUCUGCUUGUAUAAGAGUAAAUUUGAGUUUUGCAUUCUUC